Polypterus senegalus (gray bichir) is the source of this 1148-nucleotide long non-coding RNA. RefSeq lists it as uncharacterized. The transcript is spliced from 6 exons. NCBI's taxonomy places the organism in Eukaryota, Metazoa, Chordata, Cladistia, Polypteriformes, Polypteridae. The record is from RefSeq and is a predicted model, not a curated record.
AUUCAAUAAGUCAUCCAGGAACAUUUCAAGCAGUCUGUCAGGCAGCUCCAGUUGCAUUUAAUGGUGAAAACUGACAAAAGUGUGAAUGUAUGUGUUUUAACCUAAACUAAUACUGUUUUGUGUGCAUUCCAGGUCAAUGUGGAGUUCAUUGUGAAGCUCUCACAAGCUUGCAGAAUGUGAAAGCAAGCAGAAUAUCUUGAGGAUUUAUGUAACUCUCCAUGCAGACGAAAAUGAUCAGGUUUGUAAUGGAUACCAAACUUGUCACAGACUGAGUGACUUUUGGAAGUGGGAGGAGUGUGGUUGACAAGAUCAGAUUUUUUGACAAUUUGACCAGAAUCUUGGAUGGAAUCCGCUGUAACUUGACUAGUACAGCAGUUUAGCACUUCUUUCCUUCUUCCCUUCUACAUUAAUAACCUUGGGCAACUGAACAGAGUACUGGAAUAAGCAGGUGAAAGAGCUACAGCUAUGUAUUAUAGGAGAAUUGCCCAACAUGUGUCUCUUGGACAAUGGAAAUCACAAUCAGGAUUUGACAUUUAUUUGUGGAGGCAGGAUUGUAUCUGGUUGUGAGUUCCCGUUUUUGGCACGUUCUACAAUUUGUGUCAGGUCUAGACUCUAUUGGGCCAUUAAUGAAAAGACAGAAGAUAGGUAAAGACUUGAAUUACAUCUGAAGUGAGCAAAGUGUCUAGCUAUUCCAUAGCACUGUGUUGUAAUGAAGUGCCUGAAGCUAGUUUUGCAAAUGAUUCUCUUCAGGACUCUCUCAGUCUAUCCCCACAGGAAAGCCAGACUGUCUAGCUGGCAACCAUCAGCUGAGCAAAUGGUUUUGGGGGGCAGGUGUGAAAGGUAUUGUGUGCCCCAUUGGUGUGAAGUAUGACUCUUUGGAAUUGGCCUGAAUCAGAGGUCAUUCUGUACCACAACGCCCUAUUGGUGUAAGGGUUUGGACAGAGAAUCUAUACAUUUGCUCACUUUACCCCUCCCUCUCUCUUACAAACAUCACAAUGAAGAAGCAUCUCUCUGUCACACCAUUGCCAUGGGCAGCACAACUUGGUGGCCAUAUUGAGACAGGCAUGUGUCCUGUUCUGAAGAAACCAUGACCAAAAAUGAUACUUUAAAUGUCUAUAGUUAAGGUAACUACAAGUUUGUGUGCUGUC